GCUUAUGGCCAUACCAGCCUGAAUACGCCCGAUCUCGUCCGAUCUCGGAAGCUAAGCAGGGUCGGGCCUGGUUAGUACUUGGAUGGGAGACCGCCUGGGAAUACCAGGUGCUGUAAGCU
Molecule: ribosomal RNA, 119 nt
Filed under: Salmo trutta (river trout)
Lineage: Eukaryota; Metazoa; Chordata; Actinopteri; Salmoniformes; Salmonidae
Source: RNAcentral